UACGUAGGGCGCAAGCGUUGUCCGGAAUUAUUGGGCGUAAAGAGCUCGUAGGCGGCUUGUCACGUCGAUUGUGAAAGCCCGAGGCUUAACCUCGGGUCUGCAGUCGAUACGGGCUAGCUAGAGUGUGGUAGGGGAGAUCGGAAUUCCUGGUGUAGCGGUGAAAUGCGCAGAUAUCAGGAGGAACACCGGUGGCGAAGGCGGAUCUCUGGGCUAUUACUGACGCUGAGGAGCGAAAGCGUGGGGAGCGAACAGG
This 253-nucleotide ribosomal RNA is filed under the name uncultured bacterium. RNAcentral's name for it is "partial 16S ribosomal RNA". It matches the Rfam family "Bacterial small subunit ribosomal RNA", at positions 524 to 776 of the family's 1533-position model. The record is from RNAcentral.